This is a small nucleolar RNA of Oryctolagus cuniculus (rabbit), 130 nucleotides long. The record is from Ensembl. Lineage: Eukaryota; Metazoa; Chordata; Mammalia; Lagomorpha; Leporidae.
GGCCUCGUGGGGCUUGCCACCGGCUGUGUUCUUACACUGACUAUGUAGAAAGAGGAGGCAGAGUAGACUCCCCACACACACACCUCAGCUCAGGCCUUGUGCCUGGUCUGUACUGUCAAUGGGCACAUGA